UGCAUGAUUGCCCUGAAAGAGAAUGGGAGAUAUAUUGAGGAAAUAGUACUACACAAGUCACCCUUGUCCAAGCAAACCAAACCUUUCUAGUUUAUAAACCCCCUCUAUUUCUUUCCAACCUUUCACCUAACGUGAACCAAACCCCACUAUUUUUCUUCUUCUCCAAAUGGGGUGGUUUAAGUCCCUCCUCUCCCCAUUGAAGAAAAUCUGGGAUCGUCUGCAUUCAAGCAACAGAAAUCGCAGAGGAAUUUAUAUCUUGUACAAGGAUGUGAAGUCUUGCCCAUGCGAAGAUGUGCAAGUCCUAUGGUCAAUACUGGUCGAGUCACAUUCACAUACACCUCCUUUGCCAUCAACUUGAUGAAGCUGUCUUUCUUGCCCUAUAGAAAACCAUAAAAGAGGACGAUUUCACUUCAUGUACAUAUAUAAAUACUACAUUAUACUCAUGAGAAACCCAUUUACUUUUUGCUGUUUGGCUGAUAAUUAUGAGCCUUAUGUACCUUUUUACACUUUUUGUAUAUGCUGCUUUUCAUAAUUAAAAGCUUUCUUUUGAUAAA
Long non-coding RNA from Quercus robur (English oak), 554 nucleotides. RefSeq lists it as uncharacterized. The transcript has 2 exons. NCBI's taxonomy places the organism in Eukaryota, Viridiplantae, Streptophyta, Magnoliopsida, Fagales, Fagaceae. The record is from RefSeq and is a predicted model, not a curated record.